CCUACGGGUGGCUGCAGUGGGGAAUAUUGCACAAUGGGCGCAAGCCUGACGCAGCCAUGCCGCGUGUGUGAAGAAGGCCUUCGGGUUGUCAAGCACUUUCAGCGGGGAGGAAGGCGGUGAGGUUAAUAACCUCAUCGAUUGACGUUACCCGCAGAAGAAGCACCGGCUAACUCCGUGCCAGCAGCCGCGGUAAUACGGAGGGUGCAAGCGUUAAUCGGAAUUACUGGGCGUAAAGCGCACGCAGGCGGUCUGUCAAGUCGGAUGUGAAAUCCCCGGGCUCAACCUGGGAACUGCAUUCGAAACUGGCAGGCUAGAGUCUUGUAGAGGGGGGUAGAAUGCCAGGUGUAGCGGUGAAAUGCGUAGAGAUCUGGAGGAAUACCGGUGGCGAAGGCGGCCCCCUGGACAAAGACUGACGCUCAGGUGCGAAAGCGUGGGGAGCAAACAGGAUUAGAUACCCCGGUAGUC
Molecule: ribosomal RNA, 465 nt
Filed under: uncultured Klebsiella sp.
Lineage: Bacteria; Pseudomonadati; Pseudomonadota; Gammaproteobacteria; Enterobacterales; Enterobacteriaceae
Description: bacterial SSU rRNA
Rfam family: Bacterial small subunit ribosomal RNA
Source: RNAcentral